This 441-nucleotide ribosomal RNA is filed under the name uncultured bacterium. Its description in RNAcentral is "bacterial SSU rRNA". It matches the Rfam family "Bacterial small subunit ribosomal RNA", at positions 28 to 455 of the family's 1533-position model. The record is from RNAcentral.
GAUGAACGCUAGCUACAGGCUUAACACAUGCAAGUCGAGGGGAAGCGAUAGAGAAAGCUUGCUUUUUCUAGGCGUCGACCGGCGCACGGGUGAGUAACGCGUAUCCAACCUGCCCAUCACUUGGGGAUAACCUUGCGAAAGUAAGACUAAUACCCAAUGAUAUCUCUAGAAGACAUCUGAAAGAGAUUAAAGAUUUAUCGGUGAUGGAUGGGGAUGCGUCUGAUUAGCUUGUUGGCGGGGUAACGGCCCACCAAGGCGACGAUCAGUAGGGGUUCUGAGAGGAAAGGUCCCCCCAACAUUGGAACUGAGACACGGUCCAAACUCCUACGGGAGGCAGCAGUGAGGAAUAUGGUCAAUGGACGAGAGUCUGAACCAGCCAAGUAGCGUGAAGGAUGACUGCCCUAUGGGUUGUAAACUUCUUUAUACGGGAAUAAAGUGAGG